GGAUGGUUGGCAGAGUGGUUUAAUGCGGCAUCUUGCUAAGGUGCUGACGCUUCGGUGUCCGCGAGUUCAAAUCUCGCACCGUCCG
Molecule: transfer RNA, 85 nt
Filed under: Bifidobacterium eulemuris
Lineage: Bacteria; Bacillati; Actinomycetota; Actinomycetes; Bifidobacteriales; Bifidobacteriaceae
Description: tRNA-Ser
Rfam family: tRNA
About the family: Transfer RNA (tRNA) molecules are approximately 80 nucleotides in length. Their secondary structure includes four short double-helical elements and three loops (D, anti-codon, and T loops).
Source: RNAcentral